RNAcentral lists this unclassified non-coding RNA (641 nucleotides) under Trichoderma orientale. RNAcentral describes it as "sequence contains 18S rRNA gene, ITS1, 5.8S rRNA gene, ITS2, 28S rRNA gene". The stretch from base 269 to 422 matches the Rfam family "5.8S ribosomal RNA". The record is from RNAcentral. Lineage: Eukaryota; Fungi; Ascomycota; Sordariomycetes; Hypocreales; Hypocreaceae.
AGUCGUAACAAGGUCUCCGUUGGUGAACCAGCGGAGGGAUCAUUACCGAGUUUACAACUCCCAAACCCCAAUGUGAACGUUACCAAUCUGUUGCCUCGGCGGGAUUCUCUUGCCCCGGGCGCGUCGCAGCCCCGGAUCCCAUGGCGCCCGCCGGAGGACCAACUCCAAACUCUUUUUUCUCUCCGUCGCGGCUCCCGUCGCGGCUCUGUUUUAUUUUUGCUCUGAGCCUUUCUCGGCGACCCUAGCGGGCGUCUCGAAAAUGAAUCAAAACUUUCAACAACGGAUCUCUUGGUUCUGGCAUCGAUGAAGAACGCAGCGAAAUGCGAUAAGUAAUGUGAAUUGCAGAAUUCAGUGAAUCAUCGAAUCUUUGAACGCACAUUGCGCCCGCCAGUAUUCUGGCGGGCAUGCCUGUCCGAGCGUCAUUUCAACCCUCGAACCCCUCCGGGGGGUCGGCGUUGGGGAUCGGCCCCUCACCGGGCCGCCCCCGAAAUACAGUGGCGGUCUCGCCGCAGCCUCUCAUGCGCAGUAGUUUGCACACUCGCACCGGGAGCGCGGCGCGGCCACAGCCGUAAAACACCCCAAAUUUUCUGAAAUGUUGACCUCGGAUCAGGUAGGAAUACCCGCUGAACCUAAGCAUAUCA